UUGGAUCCUGGCUCAAACGUACGCUGGCGGCACGCCUAACACAUGCAAGUCGAACGCAGUACAAUACUGAGUGGCAAACGGGUGAGUAUAAUGUGGGAAUCUGCCUUUUGGUUUGGAAUAACACGGGGAAACUUGUGCUAAUACCUGAUAAGUCUUUACGGAGAAAGCUUUAUGCACCAUUGGAUGAGCCUGCACUUGAUUAGUUAGUUGGUGGGGUAAAGGCCUACCAAGACUUUGAUCAAUAGCUGAUUUGAGAGGAUGAUCAGCCACAUUGGGACUGAGACACGGCCCAAACUCCUACGGGAGGCAGCAGUGGGGAAUCUUGCACAAUGGAGGAAACUCUGAUGCAGCGAUGCCGCGUGAGUGAAGAAGGCCUUUGGGUUGUAAAAGCUCUUUCGUCGGGGAAGAAAAUGACUGUAC
This 420-nucleotide ribosomal RNA is filed under the name uncultured bacterium. RNAcentral's name for it is "bacterial SSU rRNA". It matches the Rfam family "Bacterial small subunit ribosomal RNA", at positions 12 to 478 of the family's 1533-position model. The record is from RNAcentral.